This is a long non-coding RNA of Bos taurus (domestic cattle), 762 nucleotides long. NCBI's taxonomy places the organism in Eukaryota, Metazoa, Chordata, Mammalia, Artiodactyla, Bovidae. The record is from Ensembl.
GGGCCGAUGCCGGCGGCGGGGCGGGGCCCAGGUGGAGCCCCUGGACCGAACCUCGCCACACCCGCCUGACAGUGGAUGCCGCUCUCCCUGGCCCGUCCUGUCUUCUGUCUCUCCCAGCUCUCCGCUGAGCCUCCGCGCUCUCACCCCCUGUCUGUCUGUGAUAUGUAACGACAGCUCAGGUGGCUGGUGUGUGACUGGUGAUGCUCCGGAGAAGGUCAAAUACAAGGUAGAUUCUUUACCAUCUGAGCCACCACAGAAGCUCUCAGCUGUGACGUAAAUCCACCAGAUGCAAAGAAGCCAACUAUACCUGCCUUGGCAUCACUUCAUGGAAUUUCUCAUCUUUUGCCAUUUUGUAUAAUGCCAGCCCUGACCUUCAUGGCCCAGUCAACUUCACAGCCCAGAAAUGGACACAUUUGCAACAGUUUGGAAAACAGUGCCCUUGACUGAGAGCCCUCUGAGGACGGGGCCCUCUGUGACUGGCGCCGGGUAUGGCACACAGCAGCGUUCAUUGAAGGUUUGCGGAUUGUAGCAAACAAGGAGAGAGGCGGGGCAGGGCGUGGCGGUGGAGGUGUCUGAGAGUCUGUGAGGUGUUAUCGUAAUGAGAAUUAUAAAACUUGGAUGUCCCUUGUUGCCCAAGCUGCCAGAAAGUUCAAGCAAAAUCAAAAGCUUACCCCAGAGACUAACUUAACUCUCAUAGUUUUUUGCUUUUUAAUUUUAUUUACCUAUUUAUCUAUGUCAAUUUUUUGAGUUGCUUCAUGUUCU